This is a long non-coding RNA of Strongylocentrotus purpuratus (purple sea urchin), 366 nucleotides long. RefSeq lists it as uncharacterized. The record is from RefSeq and is a predicted model, not a curated record. The transcript is spliced from 2 exons. NCBI's taxonomy places the organism in Eukaryota, Metazoa, Echinodermata, Echinoidea, Camarodonta, Strongylocentrotidae.
UAUAGAUAAUUAUCUAUAUGUACACGCUGUAUUACGAUUGCUGGGCCUUAUAUAGUCAUUGUGAAUCAUAAAAUUCAUUUGACAGUGUUUCAUUUUUGCUGUUUUCAUACAUCAAGGUUCAUUGUUAGUUGCCAUCAAGGUUUAUUAUCAGAUAAAGGCAAAGAUCAUAUGGCUUCGGUGCUAAUUACAAACUCAGAUCAAGAGAUUACAUGUACAUACAUAAAGAUGCAUAUCAUUAGAAAGACUUCUCACUCUCUAUGAUUUCAACUGUAAACGAUAGCGGUCAAAGGUAAAAUCAUGAAGCUCAAAAAUAGUUCUCUUCUUUAAUUGUACCAGUAAAUUUCUUCGGAAAGGAACUAAACCCCU